Long non-coding RNA from Passer montanus (Eurasian tree sparrow), 919 nucleotides. RefSeq lists it as uncharacterized. The transcript is spliced from 3 exons. The record is from RefSeq and is a predicted model, not a curated record. NCBI's taxonomy places the organism in Eukaryota, Metazoa, Chordata, Aves, Passeriformes, Passeridae.
CGCCGCCGGAGCCGCGCAGCGCGGCCGUGCGCGGGGAGCGGCCCCGGAGCCCGGGACCCCCGAACCCGGGACCCCGGCCCAGCCUGGCUGGAAUCUCCACUUCUUCACGGGCACCUGGGAGCAGAGCGGCUGAAGUCCCUGCCGUGCCAGGCUGGUGACACCCCGAGGGGCUCUGGUGUCCCCAGCCUGGUGCCCCUCGGCGGGCGAUGACCGACGCGGUGCUGGGCGGCUCCUCGGACCCGUGGAUGUGCCCCAGUGACAGGACCAUGUCCCUCCGAGCCAGCAGUGAGAAGGAGCAGUGAGUAUCUUUUAUUUUUCACUUAGUCCUCUUUUCCUGCUGCUUUGAUGGUCUGGGAACAGGAAAAAAAACUGGGUUUUGAUGCAAAAAAAAUUAAGUUUGGGAAGUGUCACACAGGGUUUUAACGAACUUAAGGCUCAAAGCCAUGUGGGUCUGUUAAUCCAGAGGGGAAAAGAGCCAGGAAAGGUCUUUGGAUGAGCAGGAAGGUGAGGAAUGUUUGCCUUUUGCACCCCUGAGUGGCAGACGUUACCCUGUCACCAGGUUAGCACUGCCUGACACCCAGGCUGGGAGAGAGGAUCUUUGGGAACGAUGUUAGAGGGACAAACACUCCCAUGUCUGGAGAAAUGUUCCCAAAAAAAAGCCACCCACUCCUGCGCCACCACCCCGGUCCCGUGGCUGCCAGGCAGACCUGGAGCUCCAGGGUGCCAAAGGAAACGUGUGAAUAAUGGGAAUGGUUCUGAAAAGGAGUUCUCCCUCUGAAUGAAACCAAUAUUCCCACAUGAAACCCCCUAAAAAGGGAGAUCAGAGCUCCCAGCCAAGGGUGGGGGCUCAUUGCAGGCUGGAUGGGGUCUGGAGGAUGAGGAGAUAGGCUGGGUUUGGAGGAUGGGGAGGUGGACUGGA